AUUGAACGCUGGCGGCAUGCUUUACACAUGCAAGUCGAACGGCAGCGCGGGCUUCGGCCUGGCGGCGAGUGGCGAACGGGUGAGUAAUACAUCGGAACGUGCCCAGUAGUGGGGGAUAGCUCGGCGAAAGCCGGAUUAAUACCGCAUACGACCUGAGGGUGAAAGCGGGGGAUCUUCGGACCUCGCGCUAUUGGAGCGGCCGAUGGCAGAUUAGCUAGUUGGUGGGGUAAAGGCCUACCAAGGCGACGAUCUGUAGCUGGUCUGAGAGGACGACCAGCCACACUGGGACUGAGACACGGCCCAGACUCCUACGGGAGGCAGCAGUGGGGAAUUUUGGACAAUGGACGAAAUCCUGAUCCAGCAAUGCCGCGUGUGUGAUGAAGGCCUUCGGGUUGUAAAGCACUUUUGGCGGGAACGAAAAGGACUGUGCCAAUACCACGGUUCGAUGACGGUACCCGCAGAAUAAGCACCGGCUAACUACGUG
Molecule: ribosomal RNA, 484 nt
Filed under: uncultured bacterium
Lineage: Bacteria
Description: partial 16S ribosomal RNA
Rfam family: Bacterial small subunit ribosomal RNA
Source: RNAcentral